AAUAGAUACCCUGGUAGUCCACGCCGUAAACGAUGAGUGCUAGGUGUUAGGGGAUCCAACCCUUAGUGCCGAAGUUAACACAUUAAGCACUCCGCCUGGGGAGUACGGCCGCAAGGCUGAAACUCAAAGGAAUUGACGGGGGCCCGCACAAGCGGUGGAGCAUGUGGUUUAAUUCGAAGCAACGCGAAGAACCUUACCAGGUCUUGACAUCUCUCUGACCUCUCUAGAGAUAGAGAUUCCCCUUCGGGGGCAGAGGUGACAGGUGGUGCAUGGUUGUCGUCAGCUCGUGUCGUGAGAUGUUGGGUUAAGUCCCGCAACGAGCGCAACCCUUGAGAUUAGUUGCCAGCAUUCAGUUGGGCACUCUAAUCUGACUGCCGCAGACAAUGCGGAGGAAGUGGGGAUGACGUCAAAUCAUCAUGCCCCUUAUGACCUGGGCUACACACGUGCUACAAUGGAUGGUACAAAGGGUUGCGUAAGCCGUGAGGUGGAGCCAAUCCCAUAAAGCCAUUCUCAGUUCGGU
This 520-nucleotide ribosomal RNA is filed under the name uncultured bacterium. Its description in RNAcentral is "bacterial SSU rRNA". It matches the Rfam family "Bacterial small subunit ribosomal RNA", at positions 777 to 1297 of the family's 1533-position model. The record is from RNAcentral.